RNAcentral lists this long non-coding RNA (216 nucleotides) under Carica papaya (papaya). Its description in RNAcentral is "long non-coding RNA (CPAP_LNC001999)". The record is from RNAcentral. Lineage: Eukaryota; Viridiplantae; Streptophyta; Magnoliopsida; Brassicales; Caricaceae.
UUAAAGAGAUAAAAAUCUUCUUUUCAAAAAGUAAAUAUAUAAUUAUAUAAUUAUAUUUAGGAAGAUGUUAUUUGUUUCUACCUUAAUUAUUAAAAGUAAAAAUAUUGAUUAUGCCUCAAUUAUCAAAAAAUAUUUUGUAAUCUUAUUUAAUUUAGGGAUUUCGUUGCCAUCCUGAAUGGUUUUGAUGGUUCCACCUUCACUUUCAAAGAGGACGUC